GAUGAACGCUGGCGGCGUGCCUAACACAUGCAAGUCGAACGGAGAUUACGGACGGAAGUUUUCGGAUGGAAGACUGUAAUUCUUAGUGGCGGACGGGUGAGUAACGCGUGGGCAACCUGCCCUAUACAGGGGGAUAGCAGCUGGAAACGGCUGGUAAGACCGCAUAAGUCGGUUAAAUCGCAUGAUUUGAUCGGGAAAUGAGCAAUCAGGUAUAGGAUGGGCCCGCGUCCGAUUAGCCAGUUGGCAGGGUAAAAGCCUACCAAAGCGACGAUCGGUAGCCGGACUGAGAGGUCGGACGGCCACAUUGGGACUGAGACACGGCCCAAACUCCUACGGGAGGCAGCAGUGGGGGAUAUUGCACAAUGGAGGAAACUCUGAUGCAGCGACGCCGCGUGAGUGAAGAAGUAUUUCGGUAUGUAAAGCUCUAUCAGCAGGGAAGAUGAUGACGGUACCUGACUAAGAAGCCCCGGCUAACUACGU
This 480-nucleotide ribosomal RNA is filed under the name uncultured bacterium. Its description in RNAcentral is "partial 16S ribosomal RNA". It matches the Rfam family "Bacterial small subunit ribosomal RNA", at positions 28 to 506 of the family's 1533-position model. The record is from RNAcentral.